GGGCUCUUCCUCUAAUCAGGAGAAAGCUGGUCUGGUGUGUAUUGUUCCCUUCUUUCUUUGCUUUUUAAAGAUCCAACUGCUUUAAUUUUCAUCUUUUAUUAUGGGAAAAUACACCAUGUAUAAAUAUUAAAAAUUAUAAAUAUAUAUUAUUUCAUAUAGAAUGGCCAGUAUAAACCUUUACAGUUUCCACUCUUUUUCAGUUUACAGUUUAAUGACAUUAAGUACGUUCACACUGUUUAGCAACCAUCACCGUCAUCAUCUCCAGAACAGUUUUAUUUUUCAAAAUGGAAAUUGCAACCAUUCGCCAAGCUCUCCACUCCUCUCUCUCGCCCACCCCUGGGGGCCACCUUUCUAGUUUGUAACUCUAGGAGUCUAACUACUCUAGACACUUGAUAGAUAAGUGGAAUCAUACCGUGUUCAAUUUUUUUUUUUUUUUUUAGAGUCAGCGUCUUUCUCUGUCACCCAGUUUCGAGUGCAGUGGCAUGAACUCGGCUCACUGCAACCUCCACAUUGGGGGUUCAAGCUAUUCUUAUGUCUCAGUCUCCCGAGUAGCUGGGAUUACAGGCGUGCGCUAUCACACCCAGCUAAUUUUUGUAUUUUUAAUAGAGACGAGCUUUCACCAUAUUGGCCAGGCUGGUCUCGAACUCCUGAGCUUAAGUGAUCCGCCUGCCUCAGCCUCCCAAAAUGCUGGGCUUACAGGUGCGAGCCACUGAGCUUUGGCAUGUUUAUCCUUUUGGGAUUUAUUUAUUUCACUGACGAUAAUGUCUUCAAGGUUCAUCCAUGUUGCGGCCUGCGUCAGAAGUGCCUGUUUGUUUUUGUUGUUUUUUUUUUGGUUUGGUUUUAUUUUGUUUUGUUUUGCGUUUUCAUGUAGUCUCACUCUGUCGCACAGGCUGGAGUGUAGUGGCACAAUCUGGGGUCACUGCAACCUCCGCCUCCCGGGUUCGAGCGAUUCUUGCGCCUCAGCCUCCUGAGUAGCUGAGAUUAGAGGUGCGUGCCACCACACCAGCUAAUUUUUGUAUUUUCAGUAGAGAUGGGGUUUGCCAUGUUGGCCAAGCUGGUCUUGAACUCGUGAGCUCAGGUGAUCCACCCACCUCAACUUCCCAAAGUGUUAGGAUUACAGCCGUGAGCCACUGUGCCCAGCCCAAGGAUGUGUUUAUUUUCUAUAGACUUUUGAUGAUAAUAAUUUGACAGCAAAUAUAUUGUGAGUAU
RNAcentral lists this long non-coding RNA (1209 nucleotides) under Homo sapiens (human). RNAcentral's name for it is "HSALNT0060514". The record is from RNAcentral. Lineage: Eukaryota; Metazoa; Chordata; Mammalia; Primates; Hominidae.